Molecule: small nucleolar RNA, 140 nt
Organism: Sorex araneus (European shrew)
Lineage: Eukaryota; Metazoa; Chordata; Mammalia; Eulipotyphla; Soricidae
Product: small nucleolar RNA U109
Exons: 1
Source: RefSeq, a predicted model, not a curated record
UUGCAUGUGGAAAUGCCUGUUUCUCAUUCCCGUGGGGGCAGGAAAACAUAACAUGCUAUGUUAAAAAAAUAAAAUAAGGAGUUCUUUAGGCUACCAACCAUACAGUAAAAGUUAUGUAGUAGUAUAUUUCCCCUGACUCA